GACGAACGCUGGCGGCGUGCUUAACACAUGCAAGUCGAACGGAAAGGCCCUGCUUGCAGGGUACUCGAGUGGCGAACGGGUGAGUAACACGUGGGUGAUCUGCCCUGCACUUCGGGAUAAGCCUGGGAAACUGGGUCUAAUACCGGAUAGGAGCCAUUUUUAGUGUGAUGGUUGGAAAGUUUUUUUGGUGUAGGAUGAGCUCGCGGCCUAUCAGCUUGUUGGUGGGGUAAUGGCCUACCAAGGCGGCGGCGGGUAGCCGGCCUGAGAGGGUGGACGGCCACAUUGGGACUGAGGUACGGCCCAGACUCCUACGGGAGGCAGCAGGGGGGAAUAUUGCACAAUGGGCGCAAGCCUGAUGCAGCGACGCCGCGUGGGGGAUGACGGCCUUCGGGUUGUAAACUCCUUUCGCUAGGGACGGAGCUUUUUGUGACGGUACCUAGAUAAGAAGCACCGGCUAACUACGUG
RNAcentral lists this ribosomal RNA (465 nucleotides) under uncultured bacterium. Its description in RNAcentral is "partial 16S ribosomal RNA". It matches the Rfam family "Bacterial small subunit ribosomal RNA", at positions 28 to 507 of the family's 1533-position model. The record is from RNAcentral.